GCAGUGGUGGCUAAGUGGUAAAAUUCUCACCUUCCAUACGGGAGACCUGGGUUUGAUUCCCAGCUGAUGCA
Molecule: transfer RNA, 71 nt
Filed under: Loxodonta africana (African savanna elephant)
Lineage: Eukaryota; Metazoa; Chordata; Mammalia; Proboscidea; Elephantidae
Rfam family: tRNA
About the family: Transfer RNA (tRNA) molecules are approximately 80 nucleotides in length. Their secondary structure includes four short double-helical elements and three loops (D, anti-codon, and T loops).
Source: Rfam by way of RNAcentral